GACAGAGGGUGCAAACGUUGUUCGGAAUUACUGGGCGUAAAGGGCGCGUAGGCGGCCCGCUAAGUCGAACGUGAAAUCCCCGGGCUCAACCCGGGAACUGCGUCCGAUACUGGUGGGCUUGAAUCCGGGAGAGGGAUGCGGAAUUCCAGGUGUAGCGGUGAAAUGCGUAGAUAUCUGGAGGAACACCGGUGGCGAAGGCGGCAUCCUGGACCGGUAUUGACGCUGAGGCGCGAAAGCCAGGGGAGCAAACGGG
This 253-nucleotide ribosomal RNA is filed under the name uncultured bacterium. RNAcentral's name for it is "partial 16S ribosomal RNA". It matches the Rfam family "Bacterial small subunit ribosomal RNA", at positions 524 to 776 of the family's 1533-position model. The record is from RNAcentral.